Molecule: ribosomal RNA, 469 nt
Filed under: uncultured bacterium
Lineage: Bacteria
Description: partial 16S ribosomal RNA
Rfam family: Bacterial small subunit ribosomal RNA
Source: RNAcentral
GACGAACGCUGGCGGCGUGCUUAACACAUGCAAGUCGAACGGAAAGGCCCUGCUUGCAGGGUGCUCGAGUGGCGAACGGGUGAGUAACACGUGGGUGAUCUGCCCCUUACUUUGGGAUAAGCCUGGGAAACUGGGUCUAAUACUGGAUAGGACCAUGCUGUAGGUGGUGUGGUGGAAAGAUUAGUUUCGGUAAGGGAUGAGCUCGCGGCCUAUCAGCUUGUUGGUGGGGUAAUGGCCUACCAAGGCGUCGACGGGUAGCCGGCCUGAGAGGGUGGACGGCCACAUUGGGACUGAGAUACGGCCCAGACUCCUACGGGAGGCAGCAGUGGGGAAUAUUGCACAAUGGGCGCAAGCCUGAUGCAGCGACGCCGCGUGGGGGAUGGCGGCCUUCGGGUUGUAAACUCCUUUCAGCCAUGACGAAGCCCUUGUGGUGACGGUAGUGGUAGAAGAAGCACCGGCUAACUACGUG